This 447-nucleotide long non-coding RNA is filed under the name Homo sapiens (human). RNAcentral describes it as "non-protein coding lnc-SPIDR-7:1". Lineage: Eukaryota; Metazoa; Chordata; Mammalia; Primates; Hominidae. The record is from RNAcentral.
CUUGAACUGAGAGUCCCAUUUCUAGAUCAUCAAUUUUCUUCCUAUUACUUUUCUCUGACACCAGAAAUGAGAAUUCCAAAGAAUGUGAUAGAAAAACAUCUCCUGAGAGAGACAUUUGAGGACUCCAAUUGGAUACUCAAAGAGAUUCUCUGGUGACCAAAAGGAGCCUUCAGUGAUCAAAUAACUUCAGUUAAGAAUUCCUGGUUUAAGAUUUUACAGGAAUACAUUGAACAUCAGGUUGAUGAUGCAAUGAUGGCAAAUGCAGCCCAGAAAUUUCCCUUCAAUAUUCCUAAAAGCAAAGAAGGAUAUUAAUAUCAUCAAAUCUUUGAAUGCCAUUACCCAGGCCAGGCUGACUGGCUGAGCCAUUACUGGAUGCCCAAGUGGAUCAAUGCCACUGACCCUUCUGCCCACACACUGACCCACUACAAGUCAGCUGCCAAAGCUUAA